RNAcentral lists this unclassified non-coding RNA (253 nucleotides) under uncultured Eubacteriales bacterium. Its description in RNAcentral is "contains 16S-23S intergenic spacer region". It matches the Rfam family "Bacterial small subunit ribosomal RNA", at positions 524 to 776 of the family's 1533-position model. Lineage: Bacteria; Bacillati; Bacillota; Clostridia; Eubacteriales. The record is from RNAcentral.
UACGUAGGGGGCAAGCGUUAUCCGGAUUUACUGGGUGUAAAGGGAGCGUAGACGGUUCAGCAAGUCUGAAGUGAAAUCCCAAGGCUCAACCAUGGGACUGCUUUGGAAACUGUUGAACUUGAGUGCAGGAGAGGUAAGCGGAAUUCCUAGUGUAGCGGUGAAAUGCGUAGAUAUUAGGAGGAACACCAGUGGCGAAGGCGGCUUACUGGACUGUAACUGACGUUGAGGCUCGAAAGCGUGGGGAGCAAACAGG